GAGGAGACCCUUGGGAACGGGGAAGUGGAGAAGCCAGGCCCCAGGGUCCUUUGGCAUGAUCAUGAAAUAUCUUUUUUCUUUGAGAAAUGCAGCCCCUGGCUCCAAUCAGCUAAUUUUCAAACCUUUGAUCCAUUGAUCCAUUGGGCAGUCUGGGCUUGCUUGGUUCUUGGUUCAGUGACAGACAGCAGAGGGUGAGAGAAAUGGCACAGGGCUGAGAGCCAUGAAGUCACUGGGCAUAGGUGAACGGUGUGACCACACCAGGCCAGGGAAGAAACACGUGCCCAGCCUGCCAUCUGCCCUCCUGUCUUGGAGCCAGGUCUUUCCACCAGCUUCCUUCAUCUUUUAACACUUGGUGAAAAGGAAUGACACGUCAGUCAAAGCCCCUGGCCGGUGCUCAUGGAGCAUCUGGCAGGAGGAAGCCCCUUCCUGGCUGGCCUCCCAUUCAUCAGUCAGCGCCGCAGGCUGGGCCAGGAAACAACCAAAAUGUUCUCCAACAGGUGAAUGGUGAAAUAAACGGUGGAACAUGUAUACUACAGAAAACUGCUCGGCAAUGAAAAGGAAUGAAUUAUUGAUACAUGCAAUAGUUUGAACUGAUCUCAAAGUCAUUAUGUUAAAUGAGAAAAAAAAAAGCCAAGUUCAAAAGGUGACAUACUGUAUGAUUCCACUUAUAUAACACUCUUGAAAUGACAAAAUUAUAGUGUUGGAAAACAGGUUAGUGGUUGCCAGAGGUUAGGGAUGGUUGGAGAGACGGGGAUAGGCGUGACUAUAAAGAGGCAGCACAAGAAAGAUUUUUAUGGUGAUGAAAUAAUUCUGCAUAUUGACUGUGAGGUGCUUACAAAUAUACACAUAUGAUAAGAUGACAUAGAACUAUACACACACAUUGUACCAGUGUCAAAUUCAUAGUUUUAAUAUUAUACUAUAACCAUCUAAAAUGUAACCACGGGGGGAAACUGAGUGAAGAGCACAUGGAUCCUCUUUGUACUACCUUUGUAACUUCCUGUGAACUUAUAAUUAUUUCAAAAUAAAAAGUUUAAUUAAAAAUCAGUUGCAUUUCUAUAUACAAGUAAUGAACAAUUGGGAAAUAAAGGUUUAAAAACUUCAUUUACAAAUAGUACUUAAAAAUACUUAGAAAUGAAUUUAAAGAAAGAUGUUCCAGACCUAUAACCUUAAAACUACAAAAUAUUAUUAAGGGAAAUUAAAGAAAACCUAAAUAAAUGGAGAGGCAUACCAUGUUCAUGGAUUUGAAGAUGCAAUAUUGUUAAAAGUUUUUUCUAAAAACUGACCUAUAGACUCAAUACAAUCCUCAUCAAAAUCAUAACAGACUAUUUUGGAGAAACUGAUAAAUUGAUUCUAAAAUAAUAUGAAAAAGCAAAGAGUUAAAAAUUGCCAAAAUAACUUAAAAAAUAAAAGCAAGUUUGAAGUGCUUGCAUUACCUGAUUUCAGGAUUACUAUAAAACCACAAUAAUCAAAAUUGUAUGGCAUUGGCAUGGUUAUAGAUCAGUAGAACAGAGUAGAGAGUGCAGGAAUAGACUUGCAUUUAUAUGCUCAAUUAAUUUUUUUUACAAAAGUGCCAAGACAAUUGAAUGAGGAAUGUAUAGUCUUUUUACAAAGUGGUACUGGAUAUCUUUAUGGGGACGAAUUAAGUUUUAAACCUUAUUUCACAUCAUAUGCAAAAUGAUCAAAAUAGAUAAUAGACCUAAACAUAAGAGCUAAAACAAUAAGAAUUUCUGGAAGAAAACAGCAGAAAAUCUUUGUGAUAUUGUGUUGGUAAAGAUUACCUAAACAUGACACACAAAGAUUAUCUAAACUUAACACAAACAGCAGUAAUCAUAAAAGAAAAAUAUAAUAAAAUAGAUUUCAUAAAAAUUAAAAACUUCUAUUCACUUAAGGACACAUUU
Molecule: long non-coding RNA, 1898 nt
Filed under: Homo sapiens (human)
Lineage: Eukaryota; Metazoa; Chordata; Mammalia; Primates; Hominidae
Description: HSALNT0317293
Source: RNAcentral